CGAACCUACGGGAGGCAACAGUAGGGAAUCUUCCACAAUGGACGAAAGUCUGAUGGAGCAACGCCGCGUGAGUGAAGAAGGGUUUCGGCUCGUAAAGCUCUGUUGGGAGUGAAGAAAGAUAGAGGUAGUAAAUGGCCUUUAUUUGACGGUAAUUACUUAGAAAGUCACGGCUAACUACGUGCCAGCAGCCGCGGGAAUACGUAGGUGGCAAGCGUUGUUCGGAUUUAUUGGGCGUAAAGCG
This 241-nucleotide ribosomal RNA is filed under the name uncultured bacterium. Its description in RNAcentral is "partial 16S ribosomal RNA". It matches the Rfam family "Bacterial small subunit ribosomal RNA", at positions 332 to 567 of the family's 1533-position model. The record is from RNAcentral.